UUAUUGGAGAGUUUGAUCCUGGCUCAGGACGAACGCUGGCGGCGUGCCUAAUACAUGCAAGUCGAGCGAAUUGA
Molecule: ribosomal RNA, 74 nt
Filed under: Metabacillus litoralis
Lineage: Bacteria; Bacillati; Bacillota; Bacilli; Caryophanales; Bacillaceae
Also listed under: 2 other names
Description: partial 16S ribosomal RNA
Rfam family: Bacterial small subunit ribosomal RNA
Source: RNAcentral